AACCCUCCCCACUGGCCACAAUGUCGUCGCACCGACUCGCCACUGCCUCCGCCACUCGUAAUCUCCCCAGACCCGAAACCACAAUAUGUAAUAUUAGUUUCGUCCCAAGCGUCAUUCGAACCGACGACUUCUAAACUUCGCCUAGGAUUUUUAUCAAUUGAGCUAACAACACUUGGUCAUCUUUAUUAUUCUUUUGUUUAU
Molecule: small RNA, 201 nt
Filed under: Arabidopsis thaliana (thale cress)
Lineage: Eukaryota; Viridiplantae; Streptophyta; Magnoliopsida; Brassicales; Brassicaceae
Description: ATSL213040
Source: RNAcentral